RNAcentral lists this long non-coding RNA (240 nucleotides) under Setaria viridis. Its description in RNAcentral is "long non-coding RNA (SVIR_LNC006033)". Lineage: Eukaryota; Viridiplantae; Streptophyta; Magnoliopsida; Poales; Poaceae. The record is from RNAcentral.
GGGACGAAGUGGGAUCGUCCCGUCCCGUCCCACUUCGUCCCUCGAACCAAACGCACCCUUAGGCUGUCCGCACCGGGGACCGCUACACCAUCGUCCAGUAUCGCGGUAGCGGAAAAAACCCCGCACCGCGGUACUGGUUGGCGUCCGCUACGCAAGCGGACGGCCCCCGGUCCGCUACUCCUAGCGGACGUGCAGGCCUCCCGCCACCCGCUGCCAGCGCCAACGAACACCCGCUCGCGC